Long non-coding RNA from Hyla sarda, 767 nucleotides. RefSeq lists it as uncharacterized. The transcript has 2 exons. Lineage: Eukaryota; Metazoa; Chordata; Amphibia; Anura; Hylidae. The record is from RefSeq and is a predicted model, not a curated record.
AAAUAAAGGGGCCCAACAGGAAGGCUGGAAUAAUGGAAGCAAAGAGGGGGCUUUCCUGGGACAAAGGUCUCUCCAAACACUGGGUUCCUUUCACUAGCUGUUUGACUCAGUGAGGAUGUCUGAUUAUAGCCCUCCAGUGAUCGGGACAUGGCUGACCUAGUAUGUGCCACCCAGGAAUCUGGUGACCCUCAAGACUGCAGAGAAUAUAUACCUGACUCUAUGUACUGUAAACUACAUCUAUACCGCCAGGGACUGAUCACAAGUACCUGCAGCGAGAGAGCGUUGCGCUGGGAAGGUUUUCCUACCAACCCCUGCUCUUUGCGUUUUUUGAAUUUCCGAAAAUACUCCUGUAUCAGGAAGGUGGCAUAAAACUUUCCCACAGUAACUUCAUCAUCUAAGUGAAAGAAAAGCAAUAAUCAGCAUUUGGUGUAAAACUGACGGGUGAGUACCCAGAAUACCUCACAACCUCCUACAUUUAUCCCCCUGAAAAGAGACCUCACUGCUUGUCAUGUACAAAGAUUUUACAUUUAUGCAAGUUUCAGACAAGUAUAAUACGGCCACAUUUUCGUGUCCGUAUUUCGACUGUGGUACCCUGACCCCAACUAAAGGCAUCAUAGUUUGGGUCAUUACACAUGCAAUCUUGCAGGGACCUGUGGCCAUAUUAUAGUCAUUUGUAGCCUAGCCUGAUCUUGAACACAGCAACUUUGCCUCACUUAGGGUGAAUUCAUCUUAAUAAAAGCUGCAGAAAUCAUCUGCUAUAUACAAUG